GAUGAACGCUGGCGGCGUGCCUAAUACAUGCAAGUCGAGCGAACGGACGAGAAGCUUGCUUCUCUGAUGUUAGCGGCGGACGGGUGAGUAACACGUGGAUAACCUACCUAUAAGACUGGGAUAACUUCGGGAAACCGGAGCUAAUACCGGAUGAUAUUUUGAACCGCAUGGUUCAAAAGUGAAAGACGGUCUUGCUGUCACUUAUAGAUGGAUCCGCGCUGCAUUAGCCAGUUGGUAAGGUAAUGGCUUACCAAGGCAACGAUGCAUAGCCGACCUGAGAGGGUGAUCGGCCACACUGGAACUGAGACACGGUCCAGACUCCUACGGGAGGCAGCAGUAGGGAAUCUUCCGCAAUGGGCGAAAGCCUGACGGAGCAACGCCGCGUGAGUGAUGAAGGUCUUCGGAUCGUAAAACUCUGUUAUUAGGGAAGAACAUAUGUGUAAGUAACUGUGCACAUCUUGACGGUACCUAAUCAGAAAGCCACGGCUAACUACGUG
This 497-nucleotide ribosomal RNA is filed under the name uncultured bacterium. Its description in RNAcentral is "partial 16S ribosomal RNA". It matches the Rfam family "Bacterial small subunit ribosomal RNA", at positions 28 to 507 of the family's 1533-position model. The record is from RNAcentral.